AUGGCGCCCACGGCCUCCCUGUCGGCGCUCUGCCUCCUCCUCCUCGCCGCCGCCGCCGCCGCCGGAGCUCGAGUGGACCCGAUUUAUUCUGGCAAACUGGUGCCAGACUGGAGCAGGGAACCCAAGUUUAAACUGCAGAAUUUCUCCCUGAAUCGAGAUGAUAGCCUUCAGCUCCUAAGCAGGCCACGAGAUGUGACUCGCAGGAAAUUGGGGGAGAGGACCGGUGUAAUAAAGAUGGAAACAGUGCAGCAGGAUGAUGAAGCCCUAGUUAAACUUGAGAAUGCAGGUUUUGAGCGUUCAAAAGCAGUUGAUUCUGCUGUGCUGGGAAAAUAUAGUCUAUGGAGACGCGAGAAUGAAAACGAGAAGGCGGAUGCAAAUGUUCGUCUGAUGCGGGACCAAAUGAUCAUGGCAAGAAUAUAUUCCGUGCUUGCCAAAUCCAGGGACAAGCUCGAUCUUUAUCGGGAGCUACUCGCCAGGAUCAAGGAAAGCCAGCGCUCCCUUGGGGAAGCUACUGCUGAUUCUGAUCUCCCUAAGAGUGCCUCUGAGAGAGCAAAAGCAAUGGGUCAAGUUUUAUCAAAAGCUAGGGAUCAACUGUACGAUUGCAAGGAAAUUACCCACCGUUUAAGAUCAAUGCUUCAGUCAGCUGAUGAGCAGGUCCGGAGCUUAAAGAAGCAGAGCACCUUCCUCAGUCAGUUGGCAGCUAAGACAAUACCGAAUGGCAUACAUUGCUUGUCCAUGCGCUUAACAAUAGACUAUUACCUUCUCUCUCCAGAGAAAAGAAAGUUCCCUAAUAGCGAGAAUUUGGAAGAUCCUGACCUUUAUCACUAUGCUCUUUUUUCGGACAAUGUUCUGGCAGCAUCAGUUGUGGUUAACUCAACCAUCGUGAACGCAAAGGAGCCUGAGAAGCAUGUCUUUCAUCUUGUUACUGACAAACUGAACUUUGGGGCAAUGAACAUGUGGUUCUUGUUGAAUCCACCUGGGGAUGCCACAAUCCAUGUUGAAAAUGUGGAUGACUUCAAAUGGUUGAACUCUUCGUACUGCCCUGUUUUGAAGCAGCUCGAGUCUGCAGCCAUGAAAGAGUACUACUUUAAGGCAGAUCGCCAAAAAACUCUCUCUGCUGGGUCCUCCAAUCUGAAGUACCGAAACCCAAAAUAUCUGUCCAUGCUCAACCAUCUAAGAUUUUACCUGCCACAAGUCUAUCCUAAGUUGAAUAAAAUCCUUUUCCUCGAUGACGACAUUGUGGUCCAGAAGGACUUGACUGGACUAUGGGAGGUUGAUCUUAAUGGGAAUGUAAAUGGUGCUGUGGAAACAUGUGGGGAGAGUUUCCACCGAUUUGACAAGUACCUCAAUUUUUCAAACCCAAAUAUUUCGCAGAAUUUUGAUCCUAAUGCAUGUGGUUGGGCUUAUGGAAUGAAUAUAUUUGAUCUGGAGGAGUGGAAGAAGAAGGACAUUACUGGAAUUUACCAUAAGUGGCAGAACAUGAAUGAAAACAGGCUGCUGUGGAAACUGGGGACGCUCCCGCCAGGCCUCAUGACUUUCUACAAGCUGACGCACCCCCUGGACAAAUCAUGGCAUGUGCUUGGGCUAGGGUACAACCCGACGGUCGAGCACGCGGAGAUCGACACCGCCGCCGUCAUCCACUACAACGGGAACAUGAAGCCGUGGCUGGAGAUUGCGAUGACCAAGUACCGGCCUUACUGGACGCAGUACAUCAACUACGAGCAUUCCUAUGUCCGGGGCUGCAAGAUCAGUCAAUAG
This 1758-nucleotide ribosomal RNA is filed under the name Triticum aestivum (bread wheat). Its description in RNAcentral is "partial small subunit ribosomal RNA". The record is from RNAcentral. Lineage: Eukaryota; Viridiplantae; Streptophyta; Magnoliopsida; Poales; Poaceae.